RNAcentral lists this ribosomal RNA (1704 nucleotides) under Staphylococcus aureus. RNAcentral's name for it is "partial 23S ribosomal RNA". It matches the Rfam family "Bacterial large subunit ribosomal RNA", at positions 1198 to 2904 of the family's 2925-position model. Lineage: Bacteria; Bacillati; Bacillota; Bacilli; Caryophanales; Staphylococcaceae. The record is from RNAcentral.
AGCUGUGGAUUGUCCUUUGGACAAUGGUAGGAGAGCGUUCUAAGGGCGUUGAAGCAUGAUCGUAAGGACAUGUGGAGCGCUUAGAAGUGAGAAUGCCGGUGUGAGUAGCGAAAGACGGGUGAGAAUCCCGUCCACCGAUUGACUAAGGUUUCCAGAGGAAGGCUCGUCCGCUCUGGGUUAGUCGGGUCCUAAGCUGAGGCCGACAGGCGUAGGCGAUGGAUAACAGGUUGAUAUUCCUGUACCACCUAUAAUCGUUUUAAUCGAUGGGGGGACGCAGUAGGAUAGGCGAAGCGUGCGAUUGGAUUGCACGUCUAAGCAGUAAGGCUGAGUAUUAGGCAAAUCCGGUACUCGUUAAGGCUGAGCUGUGAUGGGGAGAAGACAUUGUGUCUUCGAGUCGUUGAUUUCACACUGCCGAGAAAAGCCUCUAGAUAGAAAAUAGGUGCCCGUACCGCAAACCGACACAGGUAGUCAAGAUGAGAAUUCUAAGGUGAGCGAGCGAACUCUCGUUAAGGAACUCGGCAAAAUGACCCCGUAACUUCGGGAGAAGGGGUGCUCUUUAGGGUUAACGCCCAGAAGAGCCGCAGUGAAUAGGCCCAAGCGACUGUUUAUCAAAAACACAGGUCUCUGCUAAACCGUAAGGUGAUGUAUAGGGGCUGACGCCUGCCCGGUGCUGGAAGGUUAAGAGGAGUGGUUAGCUUCUGCGAAGCUACGAAUCGAAGCCCCAGUAAACGGCGGCCGUAACUAUAACGGUCCUAAGGUAGCGAAAUUCCUUGUCGGGUAAGUUCCGACCCGCACGAAAGGCGUAACGAUUUGGGCACUGUCUCAACGAGAGACUCGGUGAAAUCAUAGUACCUGUGAAGAUGCAGGUUACCCGCGACAGGACGGAAAGACCCCGUGGAGCUUUACUGUAGCCUGAUAUUGAAAUUCGGCACAGCUUGUACAGGAUAGGUAGGAGCCUUUGAAACGUGAGCGCUAGCUUACGUGGAGGCGCUGGUGGGAUACUACCCUAGCUGUGUUGGCUUUCUAACCCGCACCACUUAUCGUGGUGGGAGACAGUGUCAGGCGGGCAGUUUGACUGGGGCGGUCGCCUCCUAAAAGGUAACGGAGGCGCUCAAAGGUUCCCUCAGAAUGGUUGGAAAUCAUUCAUAGAGUGUAAAGGCAUAAGGGAGCUUGACUGCGAGACCUACAAGUCGAGCAGGGUCGAAAGACGGACUUAGUGAUCCGGUGGUUCCGCAUGGAAGGGCCAUCGCUCAACGGAUAAAAGCUACCCCGGGGAUAACAGGCUUAUCUCCCCCAAGAGUUCACAUCGACGGGGAGGUUUGGCACCUCGAUGUCGGCUCAUCGCAUCCUGGGGCUGUAGUCGGUCCCAAGGGUUGGGCUGUUCGCCCAUUAAAGCGGUACGCGAGCUGGGUUCAGAACGUCGUGAGACAGUUCGGUCCCUAUCCGUCGUGGGCGUAGGAAAUUUGAGAGGAGCUGUCCUUAGUACGAGAGGACCGGGAUGGACAUACCUCUGGUGUACCAGUUGUCGUGCCAACGGCAUAGCUGGGUAGCUAUGUGUGGACGGGAUAAGUGCUGAAAGCAUCUAAGCAUGAAGCCCCCCUCAAGAUGAGAUUUCCCAACUUCGGUUAUAAGAUCCCUCAAAGAUGAUGAGGUUAAUAGGUUCGAGGUGGAAGCAUGGUGACAUGUGGAGCUGACGAAUACUAA